Molecule: ribosomal RNA, 253 nt
Filed under: uncultured bacterium
Lineage: Bacteria
Description: partial 16S ribosomal RNA
Rfam family: Bacterial small subunit ribosomal RNA
Source: RNAcentral
UACGGGGGGGGCAAGCGUUGUUCGGAAUUACUGGGCGUAAAGGGCUCGUAGGCGGCCAACUAAGUCAGACGUGAAAUCCCUCGGCUUAACCGGGGAACUGCGUCUGAUACUGGUUGGCUUGAAUCCGGGAGAGGGAUGUGGAAUUCCAGGUGUAGCGGUGAAAUGCGCAGAUAUCAGGAAGAACACCAAUGGCGAAGGCAGCUCUCUGGGACGGUACUGACGCUGAGACGCGAAAGCGUGGGGAGCGAACAGG